CUUUGACGAACAAAUAUGAUCGACUGUUUCUAGUAGAAUUCCAAAGUUGUCAUCUUGUACCCUGUCAGAGCCCUGUAUGCUUGCAGAGACCCCUACAGUCAUGUAAAAAGGAAUAUUAUGAGAAAUUAAUAAAUAUGAAUAAAAAUAAUAUUAAAGGGAUUUGGAAAACAUUAAAUACCAUCAUUAAAAAUGGUUCUAGGCAGUCAAAUUAUCCUUCGUAUUUCGCUAAUAAUGAUAGAAAUAUUAGUAACAUGAGUGAUGUGGUUAAUGAGUUCAAUAAAUUCUUUGUAAGUGUUGGGCCAGACUUGGCUGAUACAAUUCCUGAUAUAACAGAUUCUGCAGAGAAAGAAACUAAACUCAUUGACUGUAAUCCUCAUUAUAUAUUACAGUUUACUUUAUUUGCAGAUGAUACAAAUAUUUUUUGUGCUGGAGAGAAUUCACAGCAGCUUUUGGAAAUUGUCACACAAGAAAUGAUUAAACUGAAAACAUGGUUUGACAGGAACAAGUUAUCACUAAAUUUGAAAAAAAAAACUACAUUUAUGUUAUUUGGAAAUUGUAAAAAAGAUGCCGGAGCAAAAUUGUUAAUAAACAAUGUUGAAGUUACGGUGGCUGGGAAGUGCAAAUUGCAACAAAUUAAAAAACCACAACAAAUUAAAAACCCGCAACAAAUUAAAAAAACCCCACAACAAAUUACAAAAACCCGCAACAAAUUACAAAAACCCACAACAAAUUAAAAAACCUCACAACAAAUUACAAAAACCCACAACGAAUUACAAAAACCCGCAACAAAUUAAAAAAAACCUACAAGAAAUUGAAAGGGAUUGUCUGAAAUACCGGAAGUGACGCAACAAUUAGCCUAAUCCGGUUGUUCAGUGAUGACGCGACAGAUCCUACUUCCGGGUCUAAAGUAGUCUGCGUUUAAUAUGGCUUUUGUGUUGUUAACAUGUUUAAUGUUAUGUAUUUUCUUCUAUUUGAUCUCAAAAAGCUCCUAAAACAGUCAGUGAUCCCUGUUGACCUCCCUUGGCUUUUAUUACCACUAAUCAUUUAUUUAAGCUCAGUUUUUAAAACCUUAGGAUGUAACUACAGCCCAGCCCAUGCAGCAGUAUAUGAAUGACUAACCUCGUAUUGUGGAUGGAUUAUCUCAGUUGUUCUCCUGGCUGAAGUUUGGUCCUUUUACAGCAUCCUGCCAUGCGAUUACAUUUG
Astatotilapia calliptera (eastern happy) is the source of this 1203-nucleotide long non-coding RNA. Lineage: Eukaryota; Metazoa; Chordata; Actinopteri; Cichliformes; Cichlidae. The record is from Ensembl.